AGUUAAACUCAACACAAAUGCAAAUGAGAGCAGAAGAUUGCAGCUGAAGAGGCAGCCAUAUCUUGGCAUUCUUAUUGUCCGGGGACGAAGUUAGUAGCAUAUGCCCAUGCGUUGUUGGCGACAGGGUCAGCAAGAUGGUCGUAAAGGUUCUGAACAGGUCCCUUGCCGGUAACAAUGGCUUGAACAAAGAAACCAAACAUGGAGAACAUAGCCAAUCGGCCGUUCUUGAGUUCCUUCACCUUCAACUCUGCAAAUGCAUCAGGGUCAUCAGCAAGACCAAGAGGGUCAAAGGCACCACCAGGGUAAAGUGGGUCUAAUCCUUCACCAAGUGGUCCUCCACCAAUUCUGUAACCUUCAACGAAUCCCAUGAGCACAACCUGAGUAGCCCAGAUUGCAAGAAUGCUUUGAGCAUGGAUCAAGUUUGGGUUGCCCAAAUAGUCAAGGCCACCCUCAGAGAAGAUCUGGGCACCAGCCUUAAACCAG
This 483-nucleotide long non-coding RNA is filed under the name Trifolium pratense (red clover). RNAcentral describes it as "long non-coding RNA (TPRA_LNC001846)". Lineage: Eukaryota; Viridiplantae; Streptophyta; Magnoliopsida; Fabales; Fabaceae. The record is from RNAcentral.